Molecule: ribosomal RNA, 253 nt
Filed under: uncultured bacterium
Lineage: Bacteria
Description: partial 16S ribosomal RNA
Rfam family: Bacterial small subunit ribosomal RNA
Source: RNAcentral
UACGUAGGGUGCAAGCGUUGUCCGGAAUUAUUGGGCGUAAAGAGCGUGUAGGCGGCCCGAUUAGUCCGCUGUGAAAGUCCAGGGCUCAACCCUGGAAUGCCGGUGGAUACUGUCGGGCUAGAGUCCGGAAGGGGCGAGUGGAAUUCCUGGUGUAGCGGUGAAAUGCGCAGAUAUCAGGAGGAACACCAAUGGCGAAGGCAGGUCUCUGGGCAUUAACUGACGCUGAGGAGCGAAAGCAUGGGGAGCGAACAGG